AAAUUGAAGAGUUUGAUCAUGGCUCAGAUUGAACGCUGGCGGCAGGCCUAACACAUGCAAGUCGAACGGUAACAGGAAGCAGCUUGCUGCUUUGCUGACGAGUGGCGGACGGGUGAGUAAUGUCUGGGAAACUGCCUGAUGGAGGGGGAUAACUACUGGAAACGGUGGCUAAUACCGCAUAACGUCGCAAGACCAAAGAGGGGGACCUUCGGGCCUCUUGCCAUCAGAUGUGCCCAGAUGGGAUUAGCUAGUUGGUGAGGUAACGGCUCACCAAGGCGACGAUCCCUAGCUGGUCUGAGAGGAUGACCAGCCACACUGGAAUUGAGACACGGUCCAGACUCCUACGGGAGGCAGCAGUGGGGAAUAUUGCACAAUGGGCGCAAGCCUGAUGCAGCCAUGCCGCGUGUAUGAAGAAGGCCUUAGGGUUGUAAAGUACUUUCAGCGGGGAGGAAGGUGUUG
Molecule: ribosomal RNA, 459 nt
Filed under: Salmonella enterica
Lineage: Bacteria; Pseudomonadati; Pseudomonadota; Gammaproteobacteria; Enterobacterales; Enterobacteriaceae
Description: bacterial SSU rRNA
Rfam family: Bacterial small subunit ribosomal RNA
Source: RNAcentral